Homo sapiens (human) is the source of this 2540-nucleotide RNA transcript. It is a transcript of the gene named O-acyltransferase like, pseudogene, with no coding region annotated. NCBI's taxonomy places the organism in Eukaryota, Metazoa, Chordata, Mammalia, Primates, Hominidae. The record is from RefSeq and is marked validated. The transcript has 15 exons.
GUCUCUCCGCCUGUUAAGGAGCGAGCAUGUCCCAUUUACCCGCGACAUAUUAUACACCAGUGUUUCAUAAAUAUCAGGCUGUUUGUCAAAGACGUGAGGCUUAUCCUAACAGGUUAGGAGACAAUGAUGAGCCUGACUCUACUAUUUUGCCUGCUGUCUUUUCAAUUUCCUUUUGUUUUUCCUGCAAGAAACAUCUCUCUGAAGUGCGUGCAAGAUACUGAUGAAUUCCUUUCCGAUCUGAAUUCAGUGAAGCCCAAAGAAUACGCUCUAAGAAUGUAUGACUCUCUGGGGAAGCUUGGGAGCAACACUUUCAAUGGAAACAAUGGACAGGCUGGGAUCAUACAUGGAGUGUCUUUCCACCCCUGCUCCCAAGGGGAACUUCCGAGGGUGGUACUGCAAGCUUCAUAUACUGCAGGAUGGGGCUGACUACAGUGUGGGCGUGUGUGUCCCUGAUUCUUGUGCUGAAGAGGAUGUGACUCUGAUGUCUCGGCUGGAUACUUUAAGAUUCAGAAAUACUUCAUUUUUGGCCCCUUCCCUCUUUCUUUUUACAAUAAAUUCUUCCUCCUUGUCUGGUGGGAGUGUGACCAGAUGUGCUGCUGGAAAGAUCCCCCUGGACACAUUUGCUGCCGUAUGUCUGUUCAUCACCUUGCUGGGUCUCAUCCUCCCUCCGGCUGGAACAGUCUGCGUGGCAGCUAGGGAAUGGGGGUCAGCCUGCAGGACAUCGCGGGAACACGGGGAACCUCUGGCCACUUACGGGAGUCUGCCACUGAGCGAGGCGGAGAGCAAUGAACAAAGAAGCAGAAUCCCACGGACACACUGCCGGGCACAUCUCCUCCUGUCAGCAGCCUCCAGCAGAGGAAAAAGGUUUCUAGGAGCCGUGGCUCAUGCUCUGGAGUGCUUUUCUUGGCAGAAGAAUGUGCCAGCCAUCUGGACUACAAAGGCACCAGGUGGCACCUGCUCUGCACUGAAUGGCAUUCGUGUCUUGAGUCUUCUUUGGAUCAUCUCGGGACACACCAGUCAGAUGACUGCAUGGCUGUCUUUGGAUAAUGUGCUUGAAUGGAACAGCAGAGUGCUUAGAAACCCACUGUGUGUUUACUCUUGGAGUGGUCCCUUCUAUCUUGGAGUUGAUACAUUUUUCCUGAUCAGUGGUUGGUUAAGUGCAAGUUCGUUUUUAAAGAUGCAUCAGAAUUCAGACAAAGGAAUAACCCCCAAAGGCAUACUCAGAUACUUUCUCAGUCACCUGGUAAGGUUGCAGCCUCUUCACCUGUAUUCAAUGUGCUUGUUGGUUGGACUGUUCUCUCUUGUUCCCUGGGGACCUGUCUGGGAAAUGCCCAAAUUCCACUGGGAUAACUGCCGGCAAGCAUGGUGGACGAAUCUGCUGUUGCUAAAUAACUUUGUGUCGGUCAAGAAUGCGUGCAAUGGCUGGACCUGGUACCUUGCCAAUGACUUCCAGUUCCACCUCACCACACCAGUGAUUAUCUUCAUCCAUGUAAAGAGUACACAGAUCCUCAUCCUCCUUGGGGCCAUGCUGUUCUUGGCAUCUUUCACAGCCACUGCUCUGAUCACCUUGGCAUAUAAACUUCCUGUCGUGGCUCCAUCAGAAACCAGUGAAGAGGCGAUUGUAUUGUAUUUCGUGGAGUACUACACAAAGCCCUACUGCCGAUUUGGGCCAGUUCUUGUGGGCCUCUUUCUGAGCAUUUACAUGCACCAAAACCACCAGGAAAACAUUCUCAGAACCAAGAUGCAGGUCCUGCUGGGGUGGAGCUGCUCCCUGGUCACCCUAUUUGCGGUGGCCGCUCUGGCAUACAUGGUGGAUGACUCCUCUGCUUCCUCUCUAGUAGCUGCAGCUCUCUACCAAGCCCUCCACCGGACCCUGUGGGCGGCGGCUGUGGGCUGAGUCCUCUUUGCGUGCCACGGAGGAUAUGGAGGUCUGGUGAACCGUGUGCUUUCUUGGGACAUCUGGAGUUUCCUGUCCAGCAUCAGUUAUGCUCGCUACUUGGUGCAUCCGAUUCUGAUCAUCCUUUACAAUGGCCUUCAGGAAACACUUAUUCACCACACUGACACCAACAUGUUCUAUCUUUUCUCUGGACACCGUGUGCUGACCUUCGUCACUGGGCUGGCCCUGACGCUGUUCAUUGAGAAACCAUGUCAGGAACUGAAGCAGCACCUGCUGGGCCAUGAAUGUUCUGGUUAAAACACAAAAGAAUGGAUGGGCCUUGUUGGUAAUGACGAGCAAAGAUGAGGUGGCCUUAUCUAGGUGAUGAAUGCUUGUAUUCCCGAGAAGGGGUGUGAAUCUCAUUUUGUGAAAGUUUAAUAUAUACAUUUUCUUUGCAUUUAAUAUGUGAAAGAGUUCUUAGUUCUUAUGAUGUAAGAGAGUUCUCUAAAUUUUUAGUAGCACAAUAAUAAACUUCUGUUGUACCAUUUUAGCAAACAACAACAACAACAACAACAGAAACUGGAUUUCUUUUUGGUUUAAACUCCAUUUGAUUGUCUGUAUCAAUGAUCACAGGAAAUGAUUAAAUGUCGUGCAUUUAAUGUAA